CUUUUUAGGGCCGCACCUGCGGCAUAUGGAGGUUCCCAGGCCAGGGGUCCAAUUGGAGCUAUAGUUGCCGGUCUACACCACAGCCAUAGCAACACCAGAUCCGAGCCGCAUCUGUGACCUACACCACAGCUCAGGGCAACACCAGAUCCUUAACCCACUGAGCAAGGCCAAGGAUCGAACCUGUGUCCUCUUGGAAGCUAGUCAGAUUUGUUAACCGCCGAGCCAUGACGGGAAGUCCCGAAUUGGCGUUUCAGUACAGAUGACAGGUCACGGCCGGGCCAGACCCCUGAGGGCCCGAUUCCCAGCCUCACUGCUGAGCAUGGCUCCCUCACGAUCUCAGAGUCUGAUUAUACUCGAAAACUUCAAGGGAGAUGGCAGUGCCCAGGGCUGGGAAGGCUGGGGCGGGGGAGGGGGGACGGUGGCGGAGGUGGUUCACGCAUGACCUGUGUAGUCCUGGGCAGCGGAUGCUCGGAAUGACACAUGGACAUCAACCCCCAAGUCUCAGAACAAGACGGAACCACCACGAGAUCCCCAGGCCGCCAGGACCUCCACAGCCCCCAUCAUGGAACCAUCAGAGCCUCCCCGCCCCCAGCAGACGUGCCAGACAAGCCCUCUUCCGAGCGCUUUGCAAGACCUGAAUCACUGCAUCGUCACAACCCCCUGUGACUGCAGUUCCCAACUAUACUGCACCCGGGAAACCCCAACACCCAGGCCACACCCCCCACUAAUCAUGAUACCUGGGGGUGGGGGCAGGCACUGAUCUUUCUUAAAGACCCUCAGGCAAUCCCAAUGCCCAGCCAAGCCUGGAACAUUCAGCUAAGACAUGGUGCCAUGACCGUCCACAUUUUUCAGAUAAGACAACAGAGGCAGAGAGGUCAAUGCCUCCCCAAGGUCACGCGGCUGGCAAGCAGCAGAGCUGGGACCCGAACCCAGUGGGAUGACCGCCAAACACUAAGAAAUCACAUCCAGGAAAGGUACCGUAGAAAGAGCAUAAAUCACUAGCAUGGGAUGAAGUGAAGCAGGUGGGGAGAGCAACUGCGAGGGUGCAGGCGGUGACCUUCAAGAAAGGUGGGUGGCUGGUCGCCGGAGGCAGAUCGGACACCUGCAAGCAGGCAGGACCAGGCCACGCUUCCGAGAAGGGCGACCAGGCAGGCGGGGACCUCUGGAAAGCAUCUGUUCUAGAGCAGUGGUUCCCAAGCUGAAAAUCAGCCGGCAGGACUGUGAAAAGAGACAGCUGCCCCCAUCCCCAGAAUCUCUUGUUCACCAGGUCCCCGGCGGAGCCCUAGAAUCUGCAUCCCCAGAUAGUGCUGCUGUAGAAGCAGUGCUCUGAGCACAUGGGAGCAGUCAGCAAUGAUGGGCUGGGGACUGUGGACACACAGCACUGUCCCAGGGUCCCUCCUUGACGGGGUGGGGUCUGCCUGUUCCUCUGCUUAUUCUGUCCCCGGAGGCUGGAAUCCCUCCCUCUGUCAGCUCCUUCCCCAAUUCCGGCACUCCUCUUACCAUUCAGCCCAGGCUGUGGUCAGCUCCUCCUCCAGGAAGCCCUCCUGGAUCCUCGGCCUCCUGAGGCACAGGAUGGGGCCUUCCUUGUGUUCAGGAAGGCUGACAUCGGACCACAACCGGGUAUGAGCAACACAGAGCAGCCUGGUCCACUUGGGGCUUUGCCUCCGCUCCUGGUUCGAAAGCGCCCCCUUCCUCCAUUGUUCUAUCCUCCAUUCAGCCAGCAGGAACCAUCUAGUUUGUAAAUGGUUCCAGGAAUGCUGCCGGGGAGGUUGUUCAGAGCUACAGAGGACACAGGCGUGGGAAGAUGCAUCGGAUCUCCAGUGCCAGGCAGCCCUGUGUUCAAAUCCCAGCCUGGACUUUUAGGACAGGGCUUUGGCCACGAACCUCCCUUCCUUCCUUCACCUGUGAAACGGCAGCGAGCGGUAAACCUAACCUGCUCCAGUUACAAAGAUCCUCAGCUGAAGCACAGAACAGCCAGCCAGUGUCUCAGUUCUCCCAAGGCCGUAUGUAAGCACCCAUCUCAUUCUGAAGCAUCCGAGAGAAGCUAAUUACCUGCAACAUACACCUUAGGGCACUGGGGUUGAAGUCUGCCAAAGACGGCUGAUAGGGAAUGCAUUGAGCAACCUCGGGGUGAGCAGUACCCUCCAGGCACCCCGAGGGCUCCUGGAAAAAGAGAUCAAACAGCAGGGAGCAGAGCUGGGGCAGAGCUGGGCGUCAGAUGCCAAGAGGAGAAGGAGGCGGGCACAGGAACACGAGACAGCGACUAGCUGGCCAGGCUCCCCCUUCGCCCGUGUCUUAUCUGAGAUGCGGAGAUGAAGGAAGUCACGUGAGCCUUUAUACUAAUGCAUUUCUCUCUGCAAACGGAAAAUGCAAUUAAACAUUCCACUUACUGAGGUUCACAUUGCCAUGUACUGGAUAAUGAGCCUCCAGAAAGCAAUGUACGUUUGGUGUUCCUUCCUGAUGUUCUGGAAAACAAAACGCUUUCUUUCCAGAACACCGGAAUUUAGACUUCGGGCAUUUUAUGAUCCCAUUUAUAAAAAAACAAAAACAAAAAAACCAAAAAAAAAACCAAACAAACCACCCAUUGACACUUUCCAUCCUAAAAGAAUCCUCCUACUGCCUCUCAGCUCAGGAAAGGGUAGGUCCACUGCUCUCCACAACAAGCCGAAAGGUCCAUCCACCAAGCUGUAGGACCAGGCAUGGAGCAUCCCGGACCAGAGGUGGGCCGGUUGGGGAUCUGAGGCCAGCUUGAAUGUCCUGCUGCUUCCCUGGGACAUGCCAUUUUAUUUCUCUGGGCCAGUUGCCUUGUCGGUGGACUAUAUAAGGUCCCUUCCAGCCAUCAAAGUAUAAAACGCUACCAACACCCUACUUCAGUCAGCAUCUGCAAAAGGAACAAAUGCUUGCCUCCAACUUUCAGGAAGGUGAUAUUUGAACAAGGCUUUAAAUUAUGUUACGAAACAGAAAUAAACAAGACUCAUGACAUCAGGGGCCAUCAAGGACAGUGAAGGUCUGGCCGUCUAAAGUGAAACUGACCUCUCAGCGCAGGGGGAGAGCUGGCUGGCGACAGUCUUUGCGGGACACUUCCCUCCAGCCCUCCUGUGGCUAAGGGGGCCUGGCCCUCGCCUGAAGCAAAAGCUGGAAGCCAGCCCAGGCACUGUCCCCUGGCUUUCCGAGGGACUCCAGUUUUCCCCAUACCCUGCUCUACGGGGAGAGCUCCUGCGCCCUCAACCGCAGUAAACCUCGGACCAAAUAAAAGGUGCAAAUUAACAACCUCAUGGCCAGAGCGGAAUCCCAGCCACAUCCGAGUUCAAAAGACCUUAGGGCACAGCCGCCUGGUGAGAAGAAGGCUCCCUAGCACAGACAUGAGGCACUGGGCCUGGUACCUCACUUGCCCACGUCUCCCUUUUCUCAUCUGUAAAAUGGGUUAGGGACACAGCGACAUCACAGGCAGAGGAUUCAGGAGUCCUUACUGCCUGGAAGUUCCGCAGAGGAGUGCUUAGUGCCCACUAAGUGCUGGAUACCCGCUACUGCACCCUCGUCGUAAUAUCAGUAUCAACCGAGUCGGAGAGCCUCUCUACCGAUGGACGACGGGACUUCAGUGGAAACACAGCAGAAGCAGGAGCAGGCGGGAAGGUCCUGGGGAGAUGCAGCUGCCGCCUGCCUCCCAGGGACACUUUCAGACGUUCUGAAAUAAAGCCGUCUGCCAGGCAAUGGAGGGUUGACUGGAAAGGCGGGGAAGGAGCCUGGGUGGGGCGGCAGUGAAAAAUCACAACCAGAGGAACCUAAACAAGGUGUGUGCUCUGGAGGCGGGAAAAGUGCAGGGAGAAGUAGGUAAGAGGCAGGACAGCCCACACCACGGUGCACAGGCAGAAAGGCAGACAGUCAGCCUGGGUGGGAGGAAGAUGGAAAAUCCGGGACCAGAGGAGGUGGGUGAAAAUGAGAAUGUUGGAUAAGCAAUCGGGCCAUUAAGCUCUAUUGGGGGUGGGGGGACAAGGUUCAAAGGCACAGGGAGGCCAGUGAAACUCACAGGCCAGGGAGGACAAUGCAGUGAGAAAGUCUGGAAGAAGCCGGCCACACAGAGAGAAAACCAGAGCGUUUGUUAGGAAGGUGGAAAAAUAAAAUGGAGUGAAAUUUCUGUGCCGGUGAGCGAGGAGCACAGACCUUGGGGAUUUGGGGGGUUAACAGGGUUGAAGACACAGGGCACCACGGAAAAACGAAGUCCGAUGGGAGGAGGGGCAGAGGAUAUACGAAUUGAGAUGGCCUUGGUAACAAGUGCUCAAUAAAUUCAACUUAUUCCUCUAUUUAUCGACAAGCCUGUCCAGUGCUGGGAAGCAACUGACCGAGAGAGUUGUGUUUCUCUGGCUGGUUGGCUUGGGAAGGGAGGUUUUUUUUUUUUCCCCCCGCACCUGGGAGGGGAGGUUUGCUUGGGCUCUGAGACUGCACAGCCAGAUGGUGGCCCGCCAGCCCAGGUCGCCAGAGUUCCCGGGACGUGGGCGCAGCGCUGGAUUGCCGACUCCCGACUCCCGCCUCUCGGACCACAGGUGGGAGCGAACCAGCAAAACAGGUGAGAGCUCACUCCCUCCAGGUCAGGGUCGCCCGGCGCGGGGUCUCGUCGCCCUUCUCGGAGAUGAGGCCCGGGGGCAGAGUUCUCCACCGCAUCCCCUGGGCGGCGCGGGCGCCCCGCGCCUUUGUCCCUCCCGCAGCCCGCGGAGGCGCGGGUCAAGUUUGGGGAUCCCCAGGAGCGCUGAGCCGGCAGUCCCACGCUCCCGGGCCACUCAGCCGGGCCGCGAGCGCACGGCCGGAUCGGCGCUCGGGCUGUGGGGCCGGCAUCGGGGUAACUCAACGACCGGGCUCGGGCUCCGAGCUCCCGCUCCCCACUAACACUCGGGCGCCGGCCCACCACCCGCCCGCCCCGUGCCCGGGCGCAGCCUCACCUACCGCGGCCUCGCCGGAGGAGCCUCCAAAGUCGGCCGAUCCAAGACGUCCCGGAGACUCAGGGCCGAUCCCGGUCCCGCGGAGCUCCGAGCACGCCCGGCUCUCGGCGGAGCCUCAGCCCGGAGGCACAGUCUCGGGGCGGGCGGCGGGCUGAGCGGCCGCGGCAGGAGC
This 5106-nucleotide long non-coding RNA is filed under the name Sus scrofa (pig). RNAcentral's name for it is "lncRNA (ENSSSCG00055015405.1)". The record is from RNAcentral. Lineage: Eukaryota; Metazoa; Chordata; Mammalia; Artiodactyla; Suidae.